RNAcentral lists this non-coding RNA (64 nucleotides) under unclassified sequences. The record is from RNAcentral.
CACAGAGCAAACGAUUUGACCGUUCAAUGUGGCGGCAGAUAUUCUGUCACAGUUGCAAGCCUGA